Molecule: ribosomal RNA, 261 nt
Filed under: uncultured bacterium
Lineage: Bacteria
Description: partial 16S ribosomal RNA
Rfam family: Bacterial small subunit ribosomal RNA
Source: RNAcentral
GUCCACACCGUAAACGAUGAUUACUAGGUGUUGGAGGAUUGACCCCUUCAGUGCCGCAGUUAACACAAUAAGUAAUCCACCUGGGGAGUACGACCGCAAGGUUGAAACUCAAAGGAAUUGACGGGGGCCCGCACAAGCAGUGGAGUAUGUGGUUUAAUUCGACGCAACGCGAAGAACCUUACCAAGUCUUGACAUCCCUUGACGAUGCUGGAAACAGUAUUUCUCUUCGGAGCAAGGAGACAGGUGGUGCAUGGUUGUCGU